This 482-nucleotide ribosomal RNA is filed under the name uncultured bacterium. Its description in RNAcentral is "partial 16S ribosomal RNA". It matches the Rfam family "Bacterial small subunit ribosomal RNA", at positions 30 to 507 of the family's 1533-position model. The record is from RNAcentral.
AUUGAACGCUGGCGGCAUGCCUUACACAUGCAAGUCGAACGGUAACAGGUCUUCGGAUGCUGACGAGUGGCGAACGGGUGCGUAAUACAUCGGAACGUGCCCAGACGUGGGGGAUAACGAGGCGAAAGCUUUGCUAAUACCGCAUACGAUCUAAGGAUGAAAGCAGGGGACCGCAAGGCCUUGCGCGUUUGGAGCGGCCGAUGGCAGAUUAGGUAGUUGGUGGGAUAAAAGCUUACCAAGCCGACGAUCUGUAGCUGGUCUGAGAGGACGACCAGCCACACUGGGACUGAGACACGGCCCAGACUCCUACGGGAGGCAGCAGUGGGGAAUUUUGGACAAUGGGCGAAAGCCUGAUCCAGCAAUGCCGCGUGCAGGAUGAAGGCCUUCGGGUUGUAAACUGCUUUUGUACGGAAAGAAAAGGCUCUGGCUAAUACCUGGGGCACAUGACGGUACCGUAAGAAUAAGCACCGGCUAACUACGUG